This 300-nucleotide ribosomal RNA is filed under the name uncultured Synechococcaceae cyanobacterium. RNAcentral describes it as "bacterial SSU rRNA". It matches the Rfam family "Bacterial small subunit ribosomal RNA", at positions 114 to 432 of the family's 1533-position model. The record is from RNAcentral. Lineage: Bacteria; Bacillati; Cyanobacteriota; Cyanophyceae; Synechococcales; Synechococcaceae.
CGCGUGGGAAUCUGCCCUCAGGAGGGGGAUAACGGUUGGAAACGGCCGCUAAUACCCCAUAUGCCGAGAGGUGAAAUGAAUUUCGCCUGAGGAUGAGCCCGCGUCUGAUUAGCUAGUUGGUGAGGUAAGAGCUCACCAAGGCAUCGAUCAGUAGCUGGUCUGAGAGGAUGAUCAGCCACACUGGGACUGAGACACGGCCCAGACUCCUACGGGAGGCAGCAGUGGGGAAUAUUGCACAAUGGGCGAAAGCCUGAUGCAGCCAUGCCGCGUGUGUGAAGAAGGCCCUAGGGUUGUAAAGCA